GACGAACGCUGGCGGCGUGCUUAACACAUGCAAGUCGAACGGAAACGUCCUGUUUUGGUGGGGACGGCGGGUUGACACGUGGGGAGCUACCCUUAAGUUACCUACAACUCACUGUGAGAGGUGUUAAUGACGCUGGAUCUCUUACGGCCAAAGAUUUCUUGCUUUUGGAUGGGGCCGCGUUGGUUUCGCCAGUUGGUAGGGUAAAAGCCUACCAAGGCGAUGAUCCAUAGCUGGUCUGAGAGGAUGAUCAGCAAGACUGGGACUGAGACACGGCCCAGACUCCUACGGGAGGCAGCAGUGGGGAAUAUUGGACAAUGGGCGAAAGCCUGAUCCAGCAAUGCCGCGUGAGUGAGGAAGGCCUUAGGGUUGUAAAGCUCUUUUACCCGGGAUGAUAAUGACAGUACCGGGAGAAUAAGCACCGGCUAACUCCGUG
RNAcentral lists this ribosomal RNA (433 nucleotides) under uncultured bacterium. RNAcentral's name for it is "partial 16S ribosomal RNA". It matches the Rfam family "Bacterial small subunit ribosomal RNA", at positions 28 to 507 of the family's 1533-position model. The record is from RNAcentral.